Gasterosteus aculeatus aculeatus (three-spined stickleback) is the source of this 1176-nucleotide long non-coding RNA. The record is from Ensembl. Lineage: Eukaryota; Metazoa; Chordata; Actinopteri; Perciformes; Gasterosteidae.
GCUUGAAGUUUUGUAGUGGAGUGACUUUCUGGUGAGAUCCCUGACUCUUGCUAAUCCUGAGCCGGUUCCAAAAAAAGAUGUACCUUUUCUGCUUGUUCCUCUGAGCCGUUUUGGAAUUGGGUUUCUUCUCAGUCGUCUUAUAUAUUCCUUUAACAAGUAUUGAUUUAAAAGAUUCCUCUGAGCCUUUUUGGAAUUGGACGAACACAUUUAGUUUGUUCCUCUGCCAGAGUCACAUUUGCAAUAAUCAAAAGAGCUUUUGAAGCCUGGAUAGCUCAGUUGGUAGAGCCUCAGACUUUUAAUCUAAGGGUCUAGGGUUUAAGUCCCUGUUCAGGCUUGAUGUCUUGUAGUGCAGUGAUUCCUGACUCUUGCUAAUCCUGAGCCGGUUCCAAAGAAAGCUAUACCUUUUCUGCUUGUUCCUCUGAGCCUUUUUGGAAUUGGGUUUCUCCUCAGUCGUCUUAUAUAUUCGUUUAACAAGUAUUGUUUUACAAGAUUACCUUUCAAUCAAGGUCAAACCUCAGUUGGUAGAGCAUCAGACUUUUAAUCUAAGGGUCCAGGGUUCAAGUCCCUGUUCAGACUUAAUGUCUUGUAGUGCAGUGAUUCCUGACUCUUGCUAAUCCUGAGCCGGUUCCAAAGAAAGCUGUACCUUUUCUGCUCAUUCCUCUGAGCCUUUUUGGAAUUGGACGAACACAUUUAGUUUGUUCCUCUGCCAGAGUCACAUUUGCAAUAAUCAAAAGAGCUUUUGAAGCCUGGAUAGCUCAGUCGGUAGAGCAUCAGACUUUUAAUCUGAGGGUCCAGGGUUCAAGUCCCUGUUCAGGCUUGAUGUCUUGUAGUGCAAUCACUUUCUGGUUAGGUUCCUGAUUCUUGCUAAUCCUGAGCUGGUUCCAAAACAAGCUGUACCUUUUCAUCUUGUUCCUCUGAGCCUUUUUGGAAUUGGGUUUCUCCUCAGUCGUCUUAUAUAUUCGUUUAACAAGUAUUGUUUUACAAGAUUACCUUUCAAUCAAGGUCAAACCUCAGUUGGUAGAGCCUCAGACUUUUAAUCUAAGGGUCCAGGGUUCAAGUCCCUGUUCAGGCUUGAUGUCUUGUAGUGCAGUCACUUUCUGGUUAGGUUCCUGAUGCUUGCUAAUCCUGAGCUGGUUCCAAAACAAGCUGUACCUUUUCAUCUUGUUCCUCUGAGCC